Cornus florida is the source of this 153-nucleotide small nucleolar RNA. RefSeq annotates it as small nucleolar RNA snoR137. NCBI's taxonomy places the organism in Eukaryota, Viridiplantae, Streptophyta, Magnoliopsida, Cornales, Cornaceae. The record is from RefSeq and is a predicted model, not a curated record. The transcript has a single exon.
GUUGCUUCAUAUGGUGAACACUCUUUGUUAUAUAACAAGUGAGGGAUGUUCAAGUUUCGGAAGCAUAGAUUAAUUGGGUAUCCUUGCCAGUUUUAAACAGCUUGAUGUAUUACAUUAAUUGUUGCAUCCUGAUACCUGUCUGCUGGUAAAUUC